RNAcentral lists this ribosomal RNA (492 nucleotides) under uncultured bacterium. RNAcentral's name for it is "partial 16S ribosomal RNA". It matches the Rfam family "Bacterial small subunit ribosomal RNA", at positions 29 to 507 of the family's 1533-position model. The record is from RNAcentral.
AGUGAACGCUGGCGGUAGGCCUAACACAUGCAAGUAGAACGGCAGCACAGUAAGAGCUUGCUCUUACGGGUGGCGAGUGGCGGACGGGUGAGGAAUACAUCGGAAUCUACUUUUUCGUGGGGGAUAACGUAGGGAAACUUACGCUAAUACCGCAUACGACCUACGGGUGAAAGCAGGGGAUCUUCGGACCUUGCGCGAUUGAAUGAGCCGAUGUCGGAUUAGCUAGUUGGCGGGGUAAAGGCCCACAAAGGCGACGAUCCGUAGCUGGUCUGCGAGGAUGAUCAGCCACACUGGAACUGAGACACGGUCCAGACUCCUACGGGAGGCAGCAGUGGGGAAUAUUGGACAAUGGGCGCAAGCCUGAUCCAGCCAUACCGCGUGGGUGAAGAAGGCCUUCGGGUUGUAAAGCCCUUUUGUUGGGAAAGAAAAGCAGCAGGUUAAUACCCCGCUGUUCUGACGGUACCCAAAGAAUAAGCACCGGCUAACUUCGUG